Callithrix jacchus (white-tufted-ear marmoset) is the source of this 782-nucleotide long non-coding RNA. RefSeq lists it as uncharacterized. Lineage: Eukaryota; Metazoa; Chordata; Mammalia; Primates; Cebidae. The record is from RefSeq and is a predicted model, not a curated record.
GAAGUGCUGGGACAGAACGAGGUGAUUGUGACAGCAGCUCUUCGACGUUCCGGGCAGAGGUUCCAAUGCCAGAUCCCUGCAGAAGGACCUGCCUUCCUGCUUUGCCUUUAGUUGACACCACCAUUUCUGCGGCAAGUUGAGGAAGAAGCACCAGGCAGUGGAGGUUUCUGAGGAGUGAAGGGUAGUCAGGGAGACUCCCUCACCCCAAAGUCUGUGCUGAUGUCUGUUUAGGUAAGGUAAAGCGGCUGCUAAAAGACCACACCGGCCAAAGAUCAGGACUCACACGUUCCUAUACCCGGGGACCCUUUGAAUAUCUGCCCAGCAAGGAAACCACUGGCACACUGCAGCAUGUGUGCUGGAAGAUUCCAAAUCAGUGGACAACAGAGCUCCUGUCCUUGGGAAGAAGGGCUAAGUGAGCCCUGAAAACCAAGUCAUCAACCGAUGACCAGAGAAACAGAACGUGGUCCAGACAUACCAUGAAAUACAGUCCAGCCAUGAAAAGGAACGAAGCACCUACGCAUGCUACAGCCUGGCGAGCCUUGAAAAGUUACGGGCACGCCUUCCUCUGGCCCAGGCUCCAUUCGGAGGAAUUCGGGCGCGGCACAGCGUCAGGACCCAGUGACAUCAGCAGCAGGAGUCACCUGGGGGGACCCCGAGCUGGCCUCAGAGCGUGGGCGGGAAGAGGAGCCAGAAACUGUACAGUGGUGGGGAGGGGGUUCGAAUAAAGUGUGCAAAAAUCACCGAGGAGAAGAGAAGCAACUGGGGCUGUUUCAGAAAAAAAA